RNAcentral lists this ribosomal RNA (253 nucleotides) under uncultured bacterium. RNAcentral's name for it is "partial 16S ribosomal RNA". It matches the Rfam family "Bacterial small subunit ribosomal RNA", at positions 524 to 776 of the family's 1533-position model. The record is from RNAcentral.
UACGUAGGGUGCGAGCGUCAAUCGGAAUUACUGGGCGUAAAGCGUGCGCAGGCGGCUUUGCAAGACAGAUGUGAAAUCCCCGGGCUCAACCUGGGAACUGCAUUUGUGACUGCAAGGCUAGAGUACGGCAGAGGGGGAUGGAAUUCCGCGUGUAGCAGUGAAAUGCGUAGAUAUGCGGAGGAACACCAAUGGCGAAGGCAAUCCCCUGGGCCUGUACUGACGCUCAUGCACGAAAGCGUGGGGAGCAAACAGG